Molecule: ribosomal RNA, 794 nt
Filed under: uncultured bacterium
Lineage: Bacteria
Description: bacterial SSU rRNA
Rfam family: Bacterial small subunit ribosomal RNA
Source: RNAcentral
AGAGUUUGAUCCUGGCUCAGAAUGAACGCUGGCGGCGUGCCUAACACAUGCAAGUCGAAUGUGCCGCAAGGUGCAUGGCAGACGGGUGAGUAACGCGUAGGGAAUCUACCUUUUAGUGGGGAAUAACGCUCCGAAAGGAGUGGUAAUACCGCAUGAGACCGUAGUCUGGGAUGACUACGGUGAAACCUGGGGACCGCAAGGCCUGGGGCUAAAAGAGGAUCCUGCGUCUGAUUAGCUAGUUGGCGGGGUAAUGGCCCACCAAGGCGACGAUCCGUAACUGGUCUGAGAGGAUGAUCAGUCACACUGGAACUGAGACACGGUCCAGACUCCUACGGGAGGCAGCAGUGGGGAAUAUUGGACAAUGGGCGAAAGCCUGAUCCAGCCAUGCCGUGUGUGUGAAGAAGGUCUUCGGAUUGUAAAGCACUUUAAGUUGGGAGGAAGGGUAGUAACUUAAUACGUUGCUACUUUGACGUUACCGACAGAAUAAGCACCGGCUAACUUCGUGCCAGCAGCCGCGGUAAUACGAAGGGUGCAAGCGUUAAUCGGAAUUACUGGGCGUAAAGCGCGCGUAGGUGGUUCAGUAAGUUGGAAGUGAAAUCCCCGGGCUCAACCUGGGAACUGCUUUCAAAACUGCUGAGCUAGAGUACGGUAGAGGGUGGUGGAAUUUCCUGUGUAGCGGUGAAAUGCGUAGAUAUAGGAAGGAACACCAGUGGCGAAGGCGACCACCUGGACUGAUACUGACGCUGAGGUGCGAAAGCGUGGGGAGCAAACAGGAUUAGAUACCCUGGUAGUCC